RNAcentral lists this transfer RNA (69 nucleotides) under Chilotomina oberthuri. RNAcentral's name for it is "tRNA-Lys". Lineage: Eukaryota; Metazoa; Arthropoda; Insecta; Coleoptera; Chrysomelidae. The record is from RNAcentral.
CAUUAGGUGGCUGAAAGUAAGCAAUGGAAUUUUAAAUCAUCACAUGAUAAUUAACGUAUAUCCCUAAUG